CGACCGGCGCACGGGUGAGUAACACGUAUCCAACCUGCCGAUGACUCGGGGAUAGCCUUUCGAAAGAAAGAUUAAUACCCGAUGGCAUAGUUCUUCCGCAUGGUAGAACUAUUAAAGAAUUUCGGUCAUCGAUGGGGAUGCGUUCCAUUAGCUUGUUGGCGGGGUAACGGCCCACCAAGGCAUCGAUGGAUAGGGGUUCUGAGAGGAAGGUCCCCCACAUUGGAACUGAGACGCGGUCCAAACUCCUACGGAAGGCAGCAG
RNAcentral lists this ribosomal RNA (261 nucleotides) under uncultured bacterium. Its description in RNAcentral is "partial 16S ribosomal RNA". It matches the Rfam family "Bacterial small subunit ribosomal RNA", at positions 92 to 354 of the family's 1533-position model. The record is from RNAcentral.